RNAcentral lists this ribosomal RNA (495 nucleotides) under uncultured bacterium. Its description in RNAcentral is "partial 16S ribosomal RNA". It matches the Rfam family "Bacterial small subunit ribosomal RNA", at positions 30 to 507 of the family's 1533-position model. The record is from RNAcentral.
UGACCGCUGGCGGCGUGCCUAAUACAUGCAAGUCGAGCGAACGGACGCGAAGCUUGCUUUUCUGAUGUUAGCGGCGGACGGGUGAGUAACACGUGGAUAACCUACCUAUAAGACUGGGAUAACUUCGGGAAACCGGAGCUAAUACCGGAUAAUAUUUUGAACCGCAUGGUUCAAAAGUGAAAGACGGUCUUGCUGUCACUUAUAGAUGGAUCCGCGCUGCAUUAGCUAGUUGGUAAGGUAACGGCUUACCAAGGCAACGAUGCAUAGCCGACCUGAGAGGGUGAUCGGCCACACUGGAACUGAGACACGGUCCAGACUCCUACGGGAGGCAGCAGUAGGGAAUCUUCCGCAAUGGGCGAAAGCCUGACGGAGCAACGCCGCGUGAGUGAUGAAGGUCUUCGGAUCGUAAAACUCUGUUAUUAGGGAAGAACAUAUGUGUAAGUAACUGUGCACAUCUUGACGGUACCUAAUCAGAAAGCCACGGCUAACUACGUG